RNAcentral lists this unclassified non-coding RNA (416 nucleotides) under Prostanthera rugosa. RNAcentral describes it as "partial external transcribed spacer". Lineage: Eukaryota; Viridiplantae; Streptophyta; Magnoliopsida; Lamiales; Lamiaceae. The record is from RNAcentral.
GGAUCAACCAGGUAGCAUUCCUCACCGACGUCGAUCGGCGUGCUGCAAUCCGUAAGGAAUCCACCACAACCGAUACGAACGUCGUUCGCACGUAGCGUUGAACGCCUUGUUACGGGGGGCAAAUAGAGGUCGAGGCCUCGUGCCCACAACAUGUUCCGCAUCCGAGAUUUCGAGCAUUGCUUCCUGGGUGGGCCAAACGAGCGCAUGCGCACACACACACACGAGUGCCAACCACGACGCAUGCUAUGAGUUCCAACCCGCACCGCGACACUGGUGGGUGACGCGGAGCAGAAUGGAAAAGAGCCGAUUUUACCGACGUAAUGCCUUAAAGAUAGGUAUCGAGCACAGGAGGCCGCUAUCGAACAGGGCUUGGGGGCCCUUGUGCCGAUGAUUGAAGAGGCGCGGUUGGGAUGUCG